Molecule: ribosomal RNA, 392 nt
Filed under: uncultured bacterium
Lineage: Bacteria
Description: partial 16S ribosomal RNA
Rfam family: Bacterial small subunit ribosomal RNA
Source: RNAcentral
AUACGUAGGGGGCGAGCGUUGUCCGGAUUUACUGGGCGUAAAGGGUGAGUAGGCGGUUGUAUAUGUCAGGUGUAAAAGGCUAUGGCUUAACCAUAGUUCGCACUUGAAACUGUAUGACUUGAGUGCAGGAGAGGUAAGCGGAAUUCCUAGUGUAGCGGUGAAAUGCGUAGAUAUUAGGAGGAACACCAGUGGCGAAGGCGGCUUACUGGACUGUAACUGACGCUGAGUCACGAAAGCGUGGGUAGCAAACAGGAUUAGAUACCCUGGUAGUCCACGCUGUAAACGAUGAGUGCUAGGUGUUGGGUAGCGAUACUCAGUGCCGUAGUAAACACAAUAAGCACUCCGCCUGGGGAGUACGUACGCAAGUAUGAAACUCAAAUGAAUUGACGGGG